Molecule: ribosomal RNA, 510 nt
Filed under: Arthrobacter sp. 31AGV
Lineage: Bacteria; Bacillati; Actinomycetota; Actinomycetes; Micrococcales; Micrococcaceae
Description: bacterial SSU rRNA
Rfam family: Bacterial small subunit ribosomal RNA
Source: RNAcentral
GAACGAUGAAGCCAGCUUGCUGGUGGAUUAGUGGCGAACGGGUGAGUAACACGUGAGUAACCUGCCCUUGACUCUGGGAUAAGCCUGGGAAACCGGGUCUAAUACUGGAUACGACCUUCUGGCGCAUGCCAUGUUGGUGGAAAGCUUUUGUGGUUUUGGAUGGACUCGCGGCCUAUCAGCUUGUUGGUGGGGUAAUGGCCUACCAAGGCGACGACGGGUAGCCGGCCUGAGAGGGUGACCGGCCACACUGGGACUGAGACACGGCCCAGACUCCUACGGGAGGCAGCAGUGGGGAAUAUUGCACAAUGGGCGCAAGCCUGAUGCAGCGACGCCGCGUGAGGGAUGAAGGCCUUCGGGUUGUAAACCUCUUUCAGUAGGGAAGAAGCCGGCUUUUGGGUUGGUGACGGUACCUGCAGAAGAAGCGCCGGCUAACUACGUGCCAGCAGCCGCGGUAAUACGUAGGGCGCAAGCGUUAUCCGGAAUUAUUGGGCGUAAAGAGCUCGUAGGCGG